RNAcentral lists this ribosomal RNA (305 nucleotides) under uncultured bacterium. RNAcentral describes it as "bacterial SSU rRNA". It matches the Rfam family "Bacterial small subunit ribosomal RNA", at positions 335 to 637 of the family's 1533-position model. The record is from RNAcentral.
UCCCCUACGGGGCGCAGCAGUGAGGAAUAUUGGUCAAUGGGAGAGAUCCUGAACCAGCCAAGCCGCGUGAGGGAAGACGGCCCUAUGGGUUGUAAACCUCUUUUGUCGGAGAACAAAACCCGGGACGUGUCCCGGACUGCGUGUAUCCGAAGAAAAAGCAUCGGCUAACUCCGUGCCAGCAGCCGCGGUAAUACGGAGGAUGCGAGCGUUAUCCGGAUUUAUUGGGUUUAAAGGGUGCGUAGACGGCUGUGCAAGUCUGAAGUGAAAUGCCGGGGCUCAACCCCGGAACUGCUUUGGAAACUGUC